GGGCAUCGGGCUUCACUCCCAACCCCUGU
RNAcentral lists this ribosomal RNA (29 nucleotides) under Fusarium andiyazi. RNAcentral's name for it is "partial 18S ribosomal RNA". Lineage: Eukaryota; Fungi; Ascomycota; Sordariomycetes; Hypocreales; Nectriaceae. The record is from RNAcentral.